UACCUACGGGACGCAGCAGUGGGGAAUAUUGCGCAAUGGGGGAAACCCUGACGCAGCAACGCCGCGUGAGUGAGGAAGUAUCUCGGUAUGUAAAGCUCUAUCCGCGGGGAAGAAGGAAGACGGUACCCGACUAAGAAGCCCCGGCUAACUACGUGCCAGCAGCCGCGGUAAUACGUAGGGGGCGAGCGUUAUCCGGAUUUACUGGGUGUAAAGGGAGCGUAGACGGCGGCGCAAGUCUGAAGUGAAAGCCCGUGGCUCAACCGCGGAACCGCUUUGGAAACUGCGAGGCUGGCGUGCUGGGGAGG
RNAcentral lists this ribosomal RNA (305 nucleotides) under uncultured bacterium. Its description in RNAcentral is "bacterial SSU rRNA". It matches the Rfam family "Bacterial small subunit ribosomal RNA", at positions 335 to 657 of the family's 1533-position model. The record is from RNAcentral.